UAACUUUGCCAUAGCUUUCCUCCCCAGGAGCAAGUGUCUUUUAAUUUCUUGGCUGUAGUCCCCAUCUGCAGUGAUCUUGGAGCCCAGGAAAAUAAAAUCUAUCACUACCUCUAUUUCUUCCGCAUCUAUUUGCCAGGAAUUGAGAAUUAACAAAUAUCAAAUGUCUCAACAAUCACAUCUGCUUGCUGGUGCGUUUUCCGAUUCUGUUUCAAAUGUUGCCAGUUAGCCAUACACUUUAAGUGGCUUGGGACCAAGUUAUUUGAAGGACUCUCUGCCUCUGCAGGAAACCAUCUGAAUCCUCCAAUCAGCCAUAGAAGCUUUGUUCCUGGGCUUGUUGAUAAGGACAGAGCUUAUCAAAGUUGGAUUCAAAACAAGCAACAAUCUUUUGUCUGUGGGGGAACCCUCAUUUGUGGAAUACAGUCCUCCUGGAAAUAAACUCCCUCCCUAUUACUUUCAGACCUUAAA
This is a long non-coding RNA of Pantherophis guttatus, 465 nucleotides long. RefSeq lists it as uncharacterized. The record is from RefSeq and is a predicted model, not a curated record. NCBI's taxonomy places the organism in Eukaryota, Metazoa, Chordata, Lepidosauria, Squamata, Colubridae.